CACACUAAACAGAUCGACACCAGAUUACCUCUCUUCUCCAAAUUUCCGGUCGACACCAGAUUGGUAUGAUAUAAUAUAUAUAUAUAGGGUAGACCGCCGAUACAGAGAGAUCAACCCUUUUCUCCCGCUGUUCUUUCUUCUGCUUCUCCGUACCCAUGUACGGCAACAACCACCACAGCAUCCUAUCAAUCCUGAUUUCUUCAACCAAAACCCUCACCUCCCAACUCAUCCUUUUUCUUCUUCAUCAUCAGAUCCUCAAACCAUGUAUUUUAACCGCCAAAAUCCUUACAUCCGAAACCCUAAUUUCCCAAUCCAACAACAUCCCAAUACUAACCCUACUACAUCUCUGUACAUAAUUGAAAGCGCUGUGAAGAAUUCUCAUGAUAAUCUUCUUGCAAUUGGUGAUACUGUUACGGCAUGGGGAGUCUCUCAAGCUGCACUUAUAUAUCUUCAAGUAGAUUCAUGGGCUUCACUAGGGUUUCAAAUACAUCAAAUUCCAUCGUUGAAGCUUCUUAUGAAAACUGAAGCAAGGGUUAAUUCGUUUAUCCAUUGUUUCGUUCUGGCGCGGAAAUUUACGUCAGUGUAUGAUUUGGAGAUUGCAAUUUGUAAAAGUGAGGGUAUUGAAAAGUUUGAAGGACUGAAAUUGGGACCUAUUUUGAAUCAUCCAGUUGUCCUUAAAUAUUUUUAUGUUCCUUCGGAUGUCAAACAAGUUCAUAAGAUAACAAGUGAAACGAUUUUUACUAACUUUGUUGAGUUCGUAGAGUAUUGUGAAGGGAAACGGAAACGUGUCAAGAAGAAAAAGUUCUUGAUGUUUCUAGCAAGGAAAGAAGAUGUUGCACGCUUGGUGUUAGGAUUCCGCAAGUGAAGAAUUGGUUUGUACUCUAACAAAUGGAUAUACACCAAGUUCUCUCUGGUACUCCCUUCCACACCGUCCUGGCCAGUUUUAUUUUUUUAGCAUGGCAUGGAGUGUUUCUACUGGAUUAGUUUGUAAAAGAGUUUAUGCAACUUAUAUCCAAAAUGCAAGCAAAGCAGAAGGGGAGAGACUAAAGAGUUCUGCUCAAGCACUGAGACAGAAGUCCAUCAAUCAUAACAAAAAAGUGGAAGAUGAAGUUUCGAAACAACCUGCUAUUACUUUAAAGAAAAAGGUUUUAGACAAAAGCAACACUAAGAUUGUGGUUGGGUUAUCUUUUAGGCAAAUGUUAACUUGUACACCGGAGCAUAUGUUAAGGAGAUUCUACCUAGCUACUUCCGGUAAUACCCUUCUAAAUCAAAUCUUUUUUUACUCUGCAACCAGACCAUUGAGUUUUCUCUUUCUCUGUCUAAUAAGAGUUAUAAGACCGCUGAUGAAAAUCAAAACCAGUACACCAACUCCAAACUCUUUCUCUUGGAUCUGAAAAAACCAAAAAUCUCUAUAUCAGUGAAGUUUCUCUUCAAAAAUCCGAUCCUAUGAUUUUCAUUGGGUCGAAUUUGUAUUCAUCAAUUAAUUAAUGGAUUCAUCAGAAGAUUCAACAAUGGCUA
This is an RNA transcript of Papaver somniferum (opium poppy), 1518 nucleotides long. RefSeq lists it as uncharacterized. The record is from RefSeq and is a predicted model, not a curated record. The transcript is spliced from 4 exons. Lineage: Eukaryota; Viridiplantae; Streptophyta; Magnoliopsida; Ranunculales; Papaveraceae.